AUGAGAUUAGCCCACACACACACACAAGCAUUAAUUACCUUUGGUGGUGAUAGUGGAAGUUAGGUUGUUGGUCCUUCUCAUCUUGUAAUAUCACAAAGCUCCAAAAAUUACCUCUAAUGAGUAAUACAGAGGUUUUUAUAUUCAGUGUAAUUUCACAGCACACUAAUUAAUUCUCAUUCCUGAUUUUGUUACAAGAAAGUGAAUCUAAUGGAAGUAUAGCUAAAAUGGACACCUAUAUAUUGUGCAUUUAUUAAAUUAAAUGGAUUCACUUAAUCAAUCACUCAAUCUAAAUAUACACUUAAUUUUAUAAGUGAGAAUUUUAAGAAUAAUUUUAUGCUUUUAAUAAAAACAAUUUAAUCUGAAUUAACAUAUAAGUUAGAGAAAUAAAAUAGAAAUGAAUUACUAGAGCUAUGAUCAUAAAAACUAGAAGAAAGAAAAAUUAGCCUCACCUCCCUCAUCAAUCAAAGCAGAUAAAUGUCAGAUCUGUGUUUGUGAUUACAAGAUUUGA
RNAcentral lists this unclassified non-coding RNA (508 nucleotides) under Hevea brasiliensis (rubber tree). Lineage: Eukaryota; Viridiplantae; Streptophyta; Magnoliopsida; Malpighiales; Euphorbiaceae. The record is from RNAcentral.